UACGUAGGGGGCUAGCGUUGUCCGGAUUUAUUGGGCGUAAAGAGCGUGUAGGCGGCCAGGUAGGUCCGGUGUGAGAACUCGAGGCUUAACCUCGAGAUGUCAUCGGAAACCAUCUGGCUAGAGUCCGGAAGAGGAAAGUGGAAUUCCUGGUGUAGCGGUGAAAUGCGCAGAUAUCAGGAAGAACACCAAUGGCGAAAGCAGCUUUCUGGGACGGUACUGACGCUGAGACGCGAAAGCGUGGGGAGCGAACAGG
This 253-nucleotide ribosomal RNA is filed under the name uncultured bacterium. Its description in RNAcentral is "partial 16S ribosomal RNA". It matches the Rfam family "Bacterial small subunit ribosomal RNA", at positions 524 to 776 of the family's 1533-position model. The record is from RNAcentral.